This is a long non-coding RNA of Taeniopygia guttata (zebra finch), 5135 nucleotides long. Lineage: Eukaryota; Metazoa; Chordata; Aves; Passeriformes; Estrildidae. The record is from Ensembl.
UUUUUUUUUUUUUUUUUUCUAAUAGAUUCAUAUCUUUGUUUCAUGCAGAUACAUUAUUCUUUUCCUACCACUCUUUGAGAGCUGGUCAGGGUGAAAGUGGUUCAGCAAGUAUUUCUGUGUUACAAGGAGAGCAACAUAGAAAACAUGACCUGAGUUAGCUUGUCUUUGAGGUCAUCAUUCUGACAGCAAGGAUGGCUGUGAUAAAGAUUUCUGGUUGGUUAAAGCUGUCUCUGUGUGUUGGCAAAAUCAGCCAGGCUGACUUGGAUCUAGCAGGAGCUAUGAAUACAUAAAUCCAUGGAAUGGAAGCUUUGCAGCUGUUGGUAUUUACACAGUACUGUGUCUUUGCAGAACUGGUUUUUGUUCUGGAAGCCUGCAGCAGCUUCACACUUCAUCAACCCCACCAGCUCUCAGGUGUAUAGCAAGGUGGGAGCUGCUUCUCUGUGGUCUUACUCCAGCCAGGAGCAGCCCUGUCCAUCCCUAAGCUUCACUAAUGCAUCAAAAUACUAAAAAACUACACAGCUUCUGGUUGUUGUAGAACGUUUUCUGUAUUUUGUGAACUGGCUGAGCUCCUGUCUAAGUCUGCCAAGCACUAUGGUUUUUGUGAAGUGAGCAAGAGGAUCAGAGAGGAGAGGAAGGGAAGCAGGCGCUCCUUUCUGGAGGCAUCCUGCUUGCAUUUUGGCUCCCAGUUUCAUGAGACUGCACACUGAAUUGAUGUGGGAGCACCGACUGUAGAGAAUUAUCUCCUUUUCAGCACCUAGGGCUGUCAGUAAAUACAUGACAAUCAAAAUAUGACUCCUGGCUUUAUGCUGUUGCCCUUAUCUGUAUGUUUCUCUGAAUGCCCUGCCUUUCUUUCUCUCUUCCCCUCUUUGUACUGAGCUGUUUCAGCUUAAAACCAGCUAAAAUUGACUUAGGUGGCUCCACCAGGAAAGACUUUUCUUAUAAAGUCUUUUUUAUGAAUGCCACUGGAAUGUCACUAUCCAGUGGACUUAGAAGGGGCUCACAAGUACUGCAAUUGAAGUAUUUAGAAAAGGCAAAAUUAUGGAAAUAAGUAAUUUAAAUUAUCUUGUCUUUGGAGAAAUGGGGGCAACAAAUCAACCCAGCAACAAUGCUCUUCUCUCUGGUUUCCAAGCCAGAUACUGACAAAACAAACUGAAGGGUUAAAAUCAAGGCUGCUUAAUCUGGGGGAGGGGAACGAGGACCAAGAUCACGUUACUGAUAAAAGAAAAUAUGUAAAAUAACAAAUUCCAGGCUUUCUCCCUUGGGGUGUGCAUUCAGCUGUAGAAAGAAUGUUUAUGGAAUAAUACAUUGUGUUGUUUAAGCAUGCUUCAAAGAACAAAUCUUUUCUUACCUUGUAGAAAUUCAUCUCAGCUUUUUCUUUUCUUUCUUUCUUUCAGACCGUAAGUCAGUAGAAGUGAUGUAUGUUACCCGUGGGGCAGUUUGCACAGGGCUAGCUUAAUCUGGGCACGUCCUUACCUUGGAUUGGAAGUCUGUUGUAUUUAAUGGGGUGUUAACUCAGUUUAUUCCCUGGGAUUUCUGCAGUAAUUUUAUUGCCUGCAAAAGGAGCAAUCUGAAGCCAGAUGAAGUGAAGGUAUGCUCUGUACCAUACCUGCUGAGCUUGGCAAUGAUGCCUGGACACAUUUACCUUAUUCUGGGGUUUCUGUUUUCUUCAUCACAUCUCUUGCAUGUAUUUUCCUGGUAGUACUGCUUUGAGUUCGAGGGUUAUCUCCCUUCUUUGAGAAAAUAGAUCCAUAGGCACUGCAUCUGGUCUGUUCCCAAGUCUGUGUCAAAUGUUCUUGGCAGUACAGGCAAGCAUAAGAGUAAUGGAUUCUGAAGUCAGAUUUUACGAAUGAGGCUGUUUGGUAGUUGAGUUCAGUGAUACUGCAGCAGAACAUAAAGUGAAUUACAGUCUAAAACAUUUAUAAUGUUAAAGAACUGGGUUCCUCUAAUGCUGAAGCACUAACAGAACAAAGAGAAAAAAAUCAAAGACAAAGGAUAAAAAAUCAUCUUCAAGUGGACAAACUGUGCAGGAUGACAGACUUUUAUAAAGACUUCUGUCAGAUGCGGCUGUUUGGUGAGGGAGGAUGGUGUAGAUCAGCACUGAUGCCUUAGGACAAAAAGCUCAAUUGUUCAGUCCUCUUACACAGGUGGUCUUACAACUCCUAUGUGGUAAAAGCACAGACAACAGUUUCAUGAACAUUAAAAAGCAUUUGGAUGUUAAAUUACUGGGCAGUAUGUGUUUAGUGUGAAUGACAGCCACGAUGUCACUUGUGCCUGGUGUCUUGGAGAACAGACUGCAGUAACUUCAUCAGACUCUUCUGAAGCACAACUUUGGCCUGAACUAAUAUCCUGAUAUAUCAAGUUGGUUUGUCUCAGUUAAGUUUGUUGUCAUGUGGUUUUGACAUACUUAUGUUGUAGGAAACAUUUCACAAUUAGAUCAACUGUUUUCUAAAGCCAAAGCUUCAGUGGAAAGUUUUUGGCCCCCAUGAAAUUAAUGAAAAUUUAGUUAUUGACAUUGCUGGAGCCAGGAUUUAAUCUGCAGUCUUCAGCAGUUAUAUAUGUGGUUAUGGAUUAUCAGUCCAUAUGGAAGCUGGAACUGUGUCUCCAGCUUUUCCUAGACUCAUCCAGUGUCUGUAGUGCUGCAGCUUCACAGAGGAGUCUGCGUGGGGGUUCUUCCUAAGGAGAAUCCAAGAGGAGCUCCUGCAAUGUAUUACCAGGCUGACAAAGCAUAUGUUUCUUCAGCUAAAAUAGCACUGCUCUUUCACAUAUAAUGGGGUCACUGUUUCUCUGCUGAGUUUCUCAUGUUAUUGAUACUUACUAGCUGGGUUCCAAUUUGAUGAUAAAAUAUCAGCACUUCAAAAUCCUAGCAGUGGGAAGGUUUCACAUCACCAAAAUGUCAGUCCUGUCACUUAAAGAAACACUUCUGUUACUUUCUGUCACUGCUGCUACUUUUUCUUUUCUGAUAGGAAAUUUCAGUUGGAUUCCCAAGUUCUCCACUAGCAAUUUCACUGAAUUCAGUAUUUCACUACCAUGGGCAAAUGCAAUGAAGGUGUUCUCAGGGUGGGGUGGGAGGACAGCCUGGAUCCAGAGGAUGUGGGUUUGGUUUCCAGGCCCUCUAUGUGUGACAGGUUCUAUUUCUGCUCCAUGGUCCAGUCAACAAAUUAGUGAAAGUUACUCAGUUCAGUGAUGAUGAUGUUAAAAGAACUGAUGGAGACAGAGUUUUUGAGCAGUGGGCUGUUUUUGGUCUGCUUUAGUUCUUCAUUGUGCUAAUGAAAAGAGUAAACAUCAUCCUUUUAGACAGAGCUGCCUGAAAAGGGGGCUGUGUCUUAGCCUAUGUAUCCAGGAACUACCACGGUGACCUGAAUAGGAAUCUAUAGGCUUUGUUCUGUUAAUUCAUCUACCUCCACUGGUAGUUUUGGAUAUGAUUAAGAGGAUUUGGAUUUGGAAAUAGUAAUUUGUUGUUGGCUUUUAAAUUACUAUUUAAACUAGACUUGUGAUGUCUUUUUUCUUCUUGAACUGUACUGCCUGAAAUAGUGCAACUCUUGCAGUUGAAUCCUAUUUUCCUUAUUCUUUCUCAAGCUCUGACCUUUAAGAACACAAGUGGAACUGGUAUCUAUACAAGGAUGUGGCAAAGGUCUUGUGUAGCCUUCUGAAAAGAGUCCUGUUUUGUUUGCAUCACAGAGUAGUCAGAAAAUGUAUCAGGGAAGAAUAGUGGAUAAAAGAAAAUGAAUGACAUGACUGAGUACAGUAGCCAGAAAUAACCUCCUGCCUGGGCUUGUUCACCUCACCAGAAAUUAUCAGUAUAACGGAAGUGUGAUUUUACAGCAUCUUUAACCAUAAGGGUGUAGUCUGUGUAGACAUACAUUUAUGUCAAAAUUCUUAAUUUUGAUGUGGAUACAUUAAUAAAAUGAUCCAAUAUAAAAAUCAGUGACCAUAUAAUCUUAUAUAAUUUAACCAUAUAAGUUUAAAAGCUGUUUAUUUAGCAUACUAAUGAGCACUGUCUGGGUUUGAUGUCUACAGACAAGAUUGUGCAUAGUAAAUAAUAAUCAUUGCAAAAAAAAAAAAAAAAAAAAAAGUGUUUCUCAGGGUCCUAAAUGCACCAGUCUCCACAAUCUAUGUGCUACUUAAUUUCUCCUGAAUUUCAGUCUUGUUCCUCACUUGAGUCAGUGUGAAAUGUGUUCCUACUGGGUUUUUUUAAGAUUUAGAACAAAUGACAGGCUGACCCAAGGGGUUUGACUGGAGAGGGAAGAACACUGAGUGCUGCUUCAGUGGAAGAAAUCUUGUUUUAUUAGUCCAGUCUGAUGUUUGAAGAAGAGAACAGAUCAGAUUUGGACUUCACUGGUAGAUCUAGAGCUGGCUGGGUUGCUGCCCUAGAGGGAAAGGUUCCUGUCAACUCCAGAUCUCCCAAGAGACAUAAUUUGCUGAGCUGGUGUGAUGAGAAGGUUCAGAGGUAGUGUCAGUCUGGAUGGUUCAUUAGUUUAAAUGUCUGGUGUUGGGAGGUACGUUCUCAAGCAAAGGCUUCUAAAUAUAAAAUAGUCUUGUGAAGUUUUCAUCUUAUGCAUAUUCACUUGUUGAAUUUACAUUUUGUUUUUCAUCUCUGAGCUCCUAGAACAGGGCCUUUCACAGAGGACAGCCUUCCCAUCUGUCUGAAUAAACUGACAGAAAGUUUUUGCAAAAACAGUCCCUUGUUUAACAUGUCCAUGCCCUCCAGCUAGUUUCUUUCAGAACACUUUGAAGACACUGCCAUUGUCACAUGCAAGCCUGAUUAAUCUAAAACUUGAACAAAAGUUUGAUCUGUGCACCCUUGAAUACAUUGACUGUACUUGGUGGAGGUGCAGGUGGAACCAUAAUACAGUUUUGCCUCAAGAGACCGAGGCAGUCCAGGCAGUGCUCUCAGUACAGAAAGUUCUUGGUGAAGCUGGAAGAGAGCAAACACAUCUGUCACUCACCUCUGGGGCAUCUGGAGGGGCUGCUUGGGAGCUGCAGGGAUCAGCUGGCAUGGAGGGCUUUCACCAGUGCUUGCAGAGAUGCACCUGUGGUUCCUCUGAGCCCAUUGUCUCUGGCUGGCCUCCUCUGCUUUCCUGUGCACUGCACUCAUGGGAAAAGGCAUGAAAUACAUCAAUAAGGGGAUGCAUUCC